Molecule: unclassified non-coding RNA, 285 nt
Filed under: uncultured fungus
Lineage: Eukaryota; Fungi
Description: sequence contains ITS1
Source: RNAcentral
CACCUACGGUCCUGGAUGUCCGCACACGGGGGCAAUAUGACGACCACCCGGAUCAGAUCCCAGGCAGCAUUCGGGUAUUGCCGGAUCAGAUCGAAAAAUGGGCUGCAACAGCUUCGCGCGACCGUUCCGUCGUCGCCUACUGCACCUGACCGAGUGAAGCGACCAGCGCCCGUGUGGCGCGCCAGCUACAGGCGUUAGGCUUCGACGCCGCGGCGCUCAAAGGCGGCUACGCCGCCUGGCGCGCCGCGUAUCCGGUGGAGCCGAAGGAACCGGUCACGGUCUAGC